CUUGGAAGAAACAGAUACCUCCCUCUGUGGGCCAGAUCCCAGGCAAACAGCUAAAUUUUUCCUUCAAACCCCACAGGGAGACCUUCUUAAUAUGGUUUUUCAUGUUUUCAACAACAGAGAUAAAACUUAAAAGGAGGAAAAAUAGCAAUCUGAUCAUUUAGCAGAGGCGCUUGGAGCUCUAAGACAGGAAACUCCAUCACCACCAGAUUCAUCAUUGACUGAUCUCGGACUUGCUGCUGAAGAUUGAUGGGGCUCAGAGCUCACAGCCCCCCAUUAAGGCGUCCUUCUCAGAGGCCCAAGUCCCACUGGAAGUCUCAGGAUGGAUAAAAGCCUUUCCCACAACCAGGGAGACUUAAUAAAGUCUUGUUACAAAAAUCAUCCCAAGGACUACAACUAAAAUGGAGUGGUCCCUACCUGGUCUUCAUCAGAACUUCAACAGUGGUCAAGGUCGCUGGACUGCCAUCCUGAUUACACAUCACUCAAGCUAAGCAGUGCCCUCCCAGCCCUGAAUCUAACCAUCCUGAGUGAUCAUCUCAUCUUCUAUCGCCCACCCAUCUCCGUCUCACGAAGGCCUCACAGCCACAACUCUCAGACUAAGUCAUGUUUUAUUAUCCAAUUUAGUUCCUAAUUCCUUACAUUCUAUUAAUUACCUUUUUUCAGCAGGACUCUCAACAGUUUUUCCUAAAGACUCCCACAUCAUGUGUAAGAUCAUCUUCAUAUUGUUCUAUGUGACAACUGUCUUAGUUCUCUCUACCCUCAGCUGUUUGGUCAAACAUGACAUCCCUGAAGGUCUAGGCUCUUACCUUCCCUAUAGUGACACAGCCAUGGCCAUCCCCACUCUCUCAUUCUUUCCAGCUCAGCUCCUGGACCAGAGACAAGCCCUACCUACCUACACUCUUAACUCUUACCCUUUUAGAUGGAGGAAUAAUUACCCCUCAUAACUUCACUCCUCCUAACCCCACACUUAGUUUUUAGAAUUCUACCUCACCGUGAUAAUGAUUCCACCUCACCGUAGUCCUGAUAAAAUGACAUAUCUAAAUCAAAGGCACCUUUCCUUCUACCUCACCUGGAUCCUUAAAUAUGAUAGUGGCCUGCUUCCUCAUGGCACCUUGUCUCUUUGUUUUCUAGUCUAAGAUGCCAGCAUUCACCAAUGAUAAAGUUGUCCUGGCUGAAACACCUGGCACCAGCUUCUACAUGGGCAUCAACCAUCAUCCCAUCAACUCUUCCUGAAUCCAAAUACGGCGCCCCCUCCUUUCAGCAGGAAGUAGUAAUAGAGAGACUUGGCCCUUUUCCUAACAAUACAAAGAUGGGAAUGAAAGGUUCUUUGUCUCAGUAGAAACAUGGUCUAACAUGGCAGAAGGCCAAGCAGGAACGCCUACCCCUUCCUGCUUCUUCCUCAGCCUUAAUUGCACCUCCCCUUCCUGUUUGUCUGCACAGAAAAUUCCAGUCAGCUCCUCACAUGUCAUCAAUGCUCACCCUAAGAGCCACCCCUGUCAGAGGUUAUAUGCAAUUCCGUGGCCCACGUUCUAGCAGAGAAAGCCAGGCCACUGGUGGUCCUGGUCUCCUCUUCACUUCUUUGGAAUAAAGACUAUUUUUACUUUA
This is a long non-coding RNA of Cavia porcellus (domestic guinea pig), 1602 nucleotides long. RefSeq lists it as uncharacterized. The record is from RefSeq and is a predicted model, not a curated record. The transcript has 3 exons. Lineage: Eukaryota; Metazoa; Chordata; Mammalia; Rodentia; Caviidae.